CUUCCCUCUCAUUGUUGUUUUCUCUAUUAGAAUUGGGAACUAUGUGGCAUAUUGGAUAGAAAACAGGAUUUAGAGUCAGGAAGACAUGUUUGAAUUCAGAUGUGUGACUUGCUCAGGAUCUCAUCCAAACCUGCAGCCUUUGUGCCUCAAUUUCAACAUCUAUAAAAUGGCUAUGAGAAUAAUAAUAAUAAUAAUAAUAAUAAUAAUAUCUCCCUCCCAAGGUUGUUACCAAAUGAGUUAACUUAUGUAAGACACUUUGCCAACCUUUAAAUGUUCCAUAAAUAUUGUUAUCAUUAUUAUAAUAAAAGAUUAUUGAAAUCAGGGGCUGUUGCACUAAUAAAUUUGGAUCCCUAGUACUUAAUACAGUUCAUGACACAUAGCAAGUUUAAUAAAUGUCAUUUAUUUAUUCAUUCCCAAGGGUCCCUUCUAACUUUAAUUCCAUUGACAUACUAUACUUAGGAUGAGCUCUUUUGACUAGGCAGUGAACAUGAAUUAUUAAUAUUCAUUCUUUUAGCUCUGUCCUCUAGAUGGUGAUAAGAACUACUAUGGUUAUGUUCUCCUACAAGAUACACCCAAAUGGUGUAGAAGGUUUCCAUGUAGGAUCCCUACCUCAUUACUGCUCCUAAUUGUUGACAAGUUCCCUAGUUGACCUUCUCAUGAUAUUUACCAAACCAAACCAAACAAACAAACAAACAAACAACCAAAAAAAAGCAUUUGGAUCAUUGAGGAGAGCCUUUGGUACCAAACCAACCAUCCAACUAAUAAAAAAAAAAGAAUUUGGAUCAUUGGGGAGAGCCUUUGCUACCAAACCAACCAACUAACCAAAAAAAAAAAUUGGGAUCAUUGGGGAGAGCCUUUUGUAACAAACCAACCAACCAACCAAUCAAAAAAAAAAAAAAAGCAUUUGGAUCAUUGAGGAGAGCCUUUGGUACCAAACCAACCAUCCAACUAAUAAAAAAAAAAAAAAGAAUUUGGAUCAUUGGGGAGAGCCUUUGCUACCAAACCAACCAACUAACCAAAAAAAAUUUGGGAUCAUUGGGGAGAGCCUUUUGUACCAAACCAACCAACCAACCAAUCAAAAAAAAAAAAAAAGCAUUUGGAUCAUUGAGGAGAGCCUUUGGUACCAAACCAACCAACCAAUGAACCAACCAACCAAAUAACAAAAAAGAAGAAGAAGAAGGAGAAUUUGGGUCAUUGGGCAGAGCCUUUAGAAUCAUGAGUGUUCGUACUACAUGGGUAUGAACCAGGAAAAUGAUAUGCUUCUCCCAGAAUACAGAGUGUAGAGAAGCAAUACUCUUAACUAGAAAGUAGUUCUGGCUCCCACAGGCAUGCUGUUGCAGUGGAUUGGGAUCUCUCUGAAUUCCUUCCACUCAAAGAGAGAGCAUGGAAAAAUGAUCCUUUCUUCUUCCUAUGCCUCCCUGCAGAAGGACAACAUAAUCUUUUAAAAUACAACACUACUAAAAACCUCAAAAUGUGGCAACAAAAUCACAUUAAAAUAGUCUACGGAAAUUAAUGCCACAUCGAUUGAGCCAAGCCAUUUCCAGCUCUGAUGGCCCCCAAGAUGCUUCUUUCCUCUCUUGUAACUGGAAAUCUAUGAACCUCAUUCUGUGGUAACUGGAAGGAGCUCAGUGUAUU
This is a long non-coding RNA of Monodelphis domestica (gray short-tailed opossum), 1635 nucleotides long. The record is from Ensembl. Lineage: Eukaryota; Metazoa; Chordata; Mammalia; Didelphimorphia; Didelphidae.